This 478-nucleotide ribosomal RNA is filed under the name uncultured bacterium. RNAcentral's name for it is "bacterial SSU rRNA". It matches the Rfam family "Bacterial small subunit ribosomal RNA", at positions 25 to 507 of the family's 1533-position model. The record is from RNAcentral.
CAGGACGAACGCUGGCGGCGUGCCUAACACAUGCAAGUCGAGCGGGGUCCAUCCAGUGGCAACACUGGGGAAGACCUAGCGGCGAACGGGUGAGUAACACGUGAGAAACCUGCCCUGAAGUCUGGGAUAACCCGAGGAAACUCGAGCUAAUACCGGAUGCCCCCACCGAGUCGCAUGGCUUGGUGAGGAAAGAUUCAUCGCCUCAGGAGGGUCUCGCGGCCUAUCAGCUAGUUGGCGGGGGUAAACGGGCCCACCAAAGGCAUCGACGGGUAGCUGGUCUGAGAGGACGAUCAGCCACACUGGGACUGAGACACGGCCCAGACUCCUACGGGAGGCAGCAGUGGGGGAAUAUUGCGCAAUGGGCGAAAGCCUGACGCAGCAACGCCGCGUGCGGGAUGACGGCCUUCGGGUUGUAAACCGCUUUCAGUGGGGACGAAAACAGACGGUACCCACAGAAGAAGCCCCGGCCAACUACGUG